This is a long non-coding RNA of Lycium barbarum (goji berry), 565 nucleotides long. RefSeq lists it as uncharacterized. Lineage: Eukaryota; Viridiplantae; Streptophyta; Magnoliopsida; Solanales; Solanaceae. The record is from RefSeq and is a predicted model, not a curated record. The transcript has 3 exons.
CCCACCCCAUUUACUCUCCCAUAUCUCCACUUCCCAUCUCAUUAAGUAAUCAACCUCCAAUCUUAACCUCUAUUGCAAAUCUCUAUUUGAUACUAACACAUAAUUACAGGAUGCACAUAUCCUUAGCUAUAUGCAAACGGAUACAAAAGCAUAGAGUGAUUUCGUUCAAUCAGCAAUGGCAGGUCUUCAACCAUGAAGAGGUACAUGAAGGUGAAAACAAAUUCAAGAAUAACAUUGCUAGAUGAGUGAAGCUACAUUAGCCAAUGAGGAAGCAACAUACUUUUUUCUUUUUAAUUUAUCAUGUUCAUGUAUUGUAAUUUAUUUUUCCCCCCACUCAUUUAGGAGGAUUUAAAGUGUGGAAGGAGGAUUUAUAGUGUUUUCACACUUCCCUUCCAGUGUGACUCGAAUCCAGGACCUACCGGUCGUGGGUGGAGGUGCUUAACCACUGAGCCAUCCUCACUUGUCAUGUAUUGUAAUUACACUUUCAUGUUGAAUUGAUUUUUUUUUUUAAUUUAAAGGAAUUUGUAAUGAAAUAUUAUCUCUCCUUGCAUGUCUAUUUACGUUA